CACACACACACACACACAGAUUUAGUGGUUGUGGCGCCCAGUCGCGAGUGUGAAGAAGGGACCAGAUGGGUCGGGCAGAAAGGAGAACCAGGAGCCACAGCCGCGGCUCACGCUCCACCGCAACAUCAAGAUUACAAGUGGACACCUGAGUCAGCAGGACCUGGAAUCCCAGAUGAGAGAGAGCUUAUCUACAUGGACUCAGAUCUUGUUGUCACCCCCAUUAAUGACAAUCCAAGGGUACAGAAAGCACUCUAACAAGUAAUGAAAAAACCACCAUCAGUUAAAUUUGAUCCAAAAAUAUUGCAUCUACCAGCAUUUUCAGUUCCAAUUGCUAAUCCAGCAUUCGCAGAUAGCUCUAAACUGCGAUAU
This 369-nucleotide small RNA is filed under the name Pongo abelii (Sumatran orangutan). RNAcentral describes it as "processed transcript". Lineage: Eukaryota; Metazoa; Chordata; Mammalia; Primates; Hominidae. The record is from RNAcentral.